GACAGGGGGUGCAAGCGUUGCUCGGAAUCACUGGGCGUAAAGCGCGCGUAGGCGGUCUCGUAAGUCGGGUGUGAAAGCCCUCAGCCUAACUGAGGAACUGCGCCCGAUACUGCGAGGCUAGAGGAUGGGAGGGGAGAGUGGAAUUCCUGGUGGAGCGGUGAAAUGCGCAGAUAUCAGGAAGAACACCCGUGGCGAAAGCGGCUCUCUGGAACGGUACUGACGCUGAGACGCGAAAGCGUGGGGAGCGAACAGG
This 253-nucleotide ribosomal RNA is filed under the name uncultured bacterium. RNAcentral describes it as "partial 16S ribosomal RNA". It matches the Rfam family "Bacterial small subunit ribosomal RNA", at positions 524 to 776 of the family's 1533-position model. The record is from RNAcentral.